This 862-nucleotide ribosomal RNA is filed under the name uncultured bacterium. RNAcentral describes it as "bacterial SSU rRNA". It matches the Rfam family "Bacterial small subunit ribosomal RNA", at positions 21 to 901 of the family's 1533-position model. The record is from RNAcentral.
GGCUCAGAUGAAACGCUGGCGGCAUUGCUAAAACAUGCAAGUCGAACGCGAAAGGGGGCAACCCCAAGUAGAGUGGCGAAAGGGCGAGUAAUGCAUUCCUGACGUACCCCGGACUCGGGGAUAGCUCACCGAAAGGUGAAUUAAUACCCGAUGAUGCCGUUGGGCCGCGUGGUCCGACGUCCAAAGGCUUGCUGGUCUGGGAUCGGGGAAUGUCCUAUCAGGUAGUUGGUGAGGUAACGGCUCACCAAGCCGAAGACGGGUAGCGGGUGUGAGAGCACGGCCCGCCGCAUCGGGACUGAGACACUGCCCGGACUCCUACGGGAGGCUGCAGUAACGAAUAUUGGGCAAUGGGCGCAAGCCUGACCCAGCGAUGCCGCGUGGAGGACGAAGCCCUUCGGGGUGUAAACUCCUGUCAGGGUUUACCAACACAAUGAGGAAACCCAGAGGAAGAGACGGCUAACUCUGUGCCAGCAGCCGCGGUAAUUCAGAGGUCUCGAGCGUUAAUCGGAGUCACUGGGCUUAAAGGGUGCGUAGGCGGACCUGCAAGUGCUUUGUGAAAUCCCAUGGCUCAACCAUGGAAUGGCUUGGCAUACUGCGGGUCUUGAGGUCGGUAGGGGCAGCCGGAACUCUAGGUGGAGCGGUGAAAUGCGUAGAUAUCUAGAGGAACGCCGAAGGUGAAGACAGGCUGCUGGGCCGAUUCUGACGCUGAGGCACGAAAGCGUGGGGAGCAAACGGGAUUAGAUACCCCGGUAGUCCACGCCCUAAACGAUGUAGACUGGAUCGCGGAGGCUCUGACGCCGUCGUGGUCGAAGCAAAAGUGCUAAGUCUACCGCCUGGGGAGUACGGGUCGCAGGCUAAAACU